CCCGCUGAACUUAAGCAUAUCAAUAAGCGGAGGAAAAGAAACUAACAAGGAUUCCCCUAGUAACUGCGAGUGAAGCGGGAAAAGCUCAAAUUUAAAAUCUGGUGGCCUUUGGCCAUCCGAGUUGUAAUUUAGAGAAGCGUCUUCCGCGCUGGACCGUGCACAAGUCUCCUGGAAUGGAGCGUCGUAGAGGGUGAGAAUCCCGUCUUUGGCACGGACGCCCAGUGCUUCUGUGAUGCGCUCUCGAAGAGUCGAGUUGUUUGGGAAUGCAGCUCAAAAUGGGUGGUGAACUCCAUCUAAAGCUAAAUAUUGGCGAGAGACCGAUAGCGAACAAGUACCGUGAGGGAAAGAUGAAAAGCACUUUGGAAAGAGAGUGAAACAGUACGUGAAAUUGUUGAAAGGGAAACGCUUGAAGUCAGUCGCGUCGUCCGAGACUCAGCCUUGCUUCCGCUCGGUGCACUUCUCGGUUGACGGGUCAGCAUCAAUUUCGACCGCCGGAUAAAGGUUGAGGGAACGUGACAUCUUUCGAGGUGUGUUAUAGCCCUCGAUUCGCAUACGGCGAUUGGGAUUGAGGAACUCAGCGCGCCUUUAUGGUCGGGGUAGCAACCCACGUAACGCGCUCAGGAUGCUGGCAUAAUGGCUUUAAGCGACCCGUCUUGAAACACGG
This 664-nucleotide ribosomal RNA is filed under the name uncultured fungus. RNAcentral's name for it is "eukaryotic LSU rRNA". It matches the Rfam family "Eukaryotic large subunit ribosomal RNA", at positions 24 to 664 of the family's 3401-position model. The record is from RNAcentral. Lineage: Eukaryota; Fungi.